This 95-nucleotide signal recognition particle RNA is filed under the name Geminicoccus sp. RNAcentral describes it as "signal recognition particle sRNA small type". It matches the Rfam family "Bacterial small signal recognition particle RNA". From Rfam's summary of the family: The signal recognition particle (SRP) is a universally conserved ribonucleoprotein involved in the co-translational targeting of proteins to membranes. Archaeal SRP consists of a 7S RNA and homologues of the eukaryotic SRP19 and SRP54 proteins. Lineage: Bacteria; Pseudomonadati; Pseudomonadota; Alphaproteobacteria; Geminicoccales; Geminicoccaceae. The record is from RNAcentral.
UGAAGGUUGGGGCGGACGUGCCUCUCGCCAAUCCGGUCAGGUCCGGAAGGAAGCAGCCGUAACGAAUUCGGUGCGGGUCGUUCCAAUCUUCCCUU